This 832-nucleotide long non-coding RNA is filed under the name Salmo salar (Atlantic salmon). Its description in RNAcentral is "lncRNA (ENSSSAG00000093573.1)". The record is from RNAcentral. Lineage: Eukaryota; Metazoa; Chordata; Actinopteri; Salmoniformes; Salmonidae.
ACUCCACAUCACCCACCAAUCACAAAGCCUCAGGGUGAGUGUCUCUCCUCUCAUUGGUCCAUACUCCACAUCGCCCACCAAUCACAAAGCCUCAGGGUGAGUGUCUCUCCUCUCAUUGGUCCAUACUCCACAUCACCCACCAAUCACAAAGCCUCAGGGUGAGGUGUCUCUCCUCUCAUUGGUCCAUACUCCACAUCACCCACCAAUCACAAAGCCUCAGGGUGAGGUGUCUCUCCUCUCAUUGGUCCAUACUCCACAUCACCCACCAAUCACAAAGCCUCAGGGUGAGUGUCUCUCCUCUCAUUGGUCCAUACUCCACAUCACCCACCAUUCACAAAGCCUCAGGGUGAGUGUCUCUCCUCUCAUUGGUCCAUACUCCACAUCACCCACCAUUCACAAAGCCUCAGGGUGAGUGUCUCUCCUCUCAUUGGUCCAUACUCCACAUCGCCCACCAAUCACAAAGCCUCAGGGUGAGUGUCUCUCCUCUCAUUGGUCCAUACUCCACAUCGCCCACCAAUCACAAAGCCUCAGGGUGAGUGUCUCUCCUCUCAUUGGUCCAUACUUCACAUCACCCACCAAUCACAAAGCCUCAGGGUGAGGUGUCUCUCCUCUCAUUGGUCCAUACUCCACAUCGCCCACCUAUCACAAAGCCUCAGGGUGAGGUGUCUCUCCUCUCAUUGGUCCAAACUAGCACGCUACUUAGUAUGCAUAGCCAAUAGAGUAGUGGGGACAGUGUUAGGCGGUCUGUAUCAGUAGUCUGUCUAGGGGUGGGUGUAGUGGGGACAGUGUUAGGUGGUCUGUAUCAGUAGUCUGUCUAGGGGUGGGUGUAGUG